Molecule: long non-coding RNA, 370 nt
Organism: Nematostella vectensis (starlet sea anemone)
Lineage: Eukaryota; Metazoa; Cnidaria; Anthozoa; Actiniaria; Edwardsiidae
Exons: 3
Source: RefSeq, a predicted model, not a curated record
CCACUAAGUAUAUCACCAUGGAAGAACGUUUAAACCUCAGUUAAACGACAUUGGCAGACGGAUUAAGGAUGACGAUAAAGCAAGUGAUACUCGUGGGUAUUCUGGUGCUGUGUGUAGCACUAAUACAAGCGGCUCCACAAGGAGACGAAGCGGCCCGUGACGUAAGCGCGUUCUGUUCGUCGGAUUACGACCGGGCUUACUGUGGUACGAGAUGCAACAGAGGCGACUGCACUAGCCGUGGUCAGCGGGAUUGCCCCAACGGACAACUCUGCUGCAUGUGUCCGCAGUAGAAUUAUGUGACCUGUCACGUGAUGCCGAAUAACGGUCAAGACAGCUGAAAACAUAAAUAAAAUAUCAGAAAAAACUAAAA